RNAcentral lists this ribosomal RNA (1106 nucleotides) under uncultured bacterium. RNAcentral's name for it is "bacterial SSU rRNA". It matches the Rfam family "Bacterial small subunit ribosomal RNA", at positions 70 to 1180 of the family's 1533-position model. The record is from RNAcentral.
CAAGCUUGUUUUGAUGGAUGGCGACCGGCGCACGGGUGAGUAACACGUAUCCCACCUGCCGACAACACUGGGAUAGCCUUUCCAAAGAAAGAUUAAUACCGGCAUGGCAUACUUUUCCCGCAUGGGAUAAUUAUAUAAAGAAUUUCGGUUGUCGAUGGGGAUGCGUUCCAUUAGGCAGUUGGCGGGGUAACGGCCCACCAAACCGACGAUGGAUAGGGGUUCUGAGAGGAAGGUCCCCCACAUUGGAACUGAGACACGGUCCAAACUCCUACGGGAGGCAGCAGUGAGGAAUAUUGGUCAAUGGACGAGAGUCUGAACCAGCCAAGUAGCGUGAAGGAUGACUGCCCUAUGGGUUGUAAACUUCUUUUAUACGGGAAUAAAGUGAGCCACGUGUGGCUUUUUGUAUGUACCGUAUGAAUAAGGAUCGGCUAACUCCGUGCCAGCAGCCGCGGUAAUACGGAGGAUCCGAGCGUUAUCCGGAUUUAAUGGGUUUAAAGGGAGCGUAGGCGGGUUGUUAAGUCAGUUGUGAAAGUUUGCGGCUCAACCGUAAAAUUGCAGUUGAUACUGGUGACCUUGAGUGCAACAGAGGUAGGCGGAAUUCGUGGUGUAGCGGUGAAAUGCUUAGAUAUCACGAAGAACUCCGAUUGCGAAGGCAGCUUACUGGAUUGUAACUGACGCUGAUGCUCGAAAGUGUGGGUAUCAAACAGGAUUAGAUACCCUGGUAGUCCACACAGUAAACGAGGAAUACUCGCUGUGGGCGAUAUACUGUCAGCGGCCAAGCGAAAGCAUUAAGUAUUCCACCUGGGGAGUACGCCGGCAACGGUGAAACUCAAAGGAAUAGACGGGGGCCCGCACAAGCGGAGGAACAUGUGGUUUAAUUCGAUGAUACGCGAGGAACCUUACCCGGGCUUAAAUUGCAACUGACGGAACCGGAAACGGUUCUUUUUUCGGACAGUUGUGAAGGUGCUGCAUGGUUGUCGUCAGCUCGUGCCGUGAGGUGUCGGCUUAAGUGCCAUAACGAGCGCAACCCUUAUCGAUAGUUACUAGCAGGUCAUGCUGAGGACUCUAUUGAGACAGCCGUCGUAAGAUGUGAGGAAGGUGGGGAU